UCUGGCGUUUGUGGGAAUGUAGUUCGUGCUGUCGCUGGCAUUUUGUUUUGUGGCCGCAUUGACAUCCGCUGUAUUAACAACGGCCCAUGAUGCUCUUCACCGCUGUGACGUGUCUGUACUGUUCCCGCAGGCACCUUGGAUACAAACACCGUGAACGCAUCGGGAACCUAUGAAAAUCUCUCAAGGGAUGAACAGGGCGCAAGGCACAAUGCACAAGAUGGAAACUCCACUUACACGGGACUGGUUCUGGGGGAUCGAUCUGUUUACAGUGAUCUGAAGAGUUGCCGAGAGAGCCAACAUGAAUUGUUUACUUAUUCCGUCAGAUGACGUCACUGUUGAAUAGAAGAGGACGGUUGGCCGGGAAUUCACACAUGAGAAAGACAACCAUCGUGGAAGAAGCCACCGUGCCACACGUCUCUUACUUUUUAUAUACGACCGUUAUCCGUGUCUCCGGCAUCUCUCUCUCUCGAGUGUCACAUCUUCACUCCGAGACAUCACUGAAGGGUGUGACACAUUUUUUAUCGUAGCGGCUUAGUUCUCUCACUUCAACCUAGACUCCUCCAGCCCAUGAUAGGCAGCCUCACGCUUUCACCAACCUUUGCCCUCUCAACUUUGCUCUGCGUUACGAUCUCAAUAAACUCAUUGUCCACAUUAUAGGCGGUUCAGUUUCUAAAGACAUGUUUCGCACAGAUCUGAAAAGUAGCAGUGUGGGACUCUCAACCUUCAGACAAGCCUCUAUUUCAUCUU
This is a long non-coding RNA of Hypanus sabinus (Atlantic stingray), 747 nucleotides long. RefSeq lists it as uncharacterized. Lineage: Eukaryota; Metazoa; Chordata; Chondrichthyes; Myliobatiformes; Dasyatidae. The record is from RefSeq and is a predicted model, not a curated record. The transcript has 4 exons.